Molecule: non-coding RNA, 1633 nt
Filed under: Cryptosporidium parvum
Lineage: Eukaryota; Apicomplexa; Conoidasida; Eucoccidiorida; Cryptosporidiidae
Source: RNAcentral
AUUGAAAAACAAUGAAGUAAAAGAGAAGAAAAGGAAGGAAUGAGUGGCAAAUAAAAAUAAAGGGCUCUAUUGAGGGAAAAUUAGUAUAUUGUAGUUAUAAAUUGCUUGGAAUAAAUACGUUGAAUGAAUCUUGAGCAGUUGAAAUGGUUAAACUUGGGAUUUGCUUGUGCCAUUUAGCCUCAGCAAUGUGUUCCUGGCCCAUAUGUAAGAAUAAAAGCUUCUUUGGGAUGUUUGGAGUGCCACUUAGGGUGGCAUCAGUCUUUGAGUCAGAAUUGUCUUCAUCAAUAACUUCAUCAUCAAUUGCAAUAUCCCAGAAACUAAUGGAGUUAUCUAAAGAAGCUGCAAGGAAAACAUCUUGGUCUUGGUGAUGCCAGUCAACAGAUAGAAUAGGUUCUCUGUGGAAGAUGAAUGUUUCAAGGGGAUCUUUAGUUGAACGAAUAUCCCAUAAUUUAAUAGUUGCAUCAUCACUUCCACUAAGCAAAAGGUUUUCGGAAAAUGGAUUCCAUGAAAUACAAUUGACAUCGCCAUUAUGAGAGUUUUCAAUAGUCAGUUGAUCAGACUCACUUCUAAUAUCUACAAUGCAAAUAUUAGAAUUAACAAGACCAGCUGCAAAGAUACUACUACUAUUGCUAUCACGCUUCCAUUGUAUAGCUUCAACACUGGAUUGGAAGUUUCCAUGGACUGGAUUUACACUCCAAGACCCUCCUUGAAUAGGCUGCCAAAAACAUAUAUUUCCCUUUCUAUCUCCAGAAGCAAAUUGAGCAAUUUGGUUGGGAUUCCAAUCCAUUGAAAACCCUUCAUCCAGAUGUCCAUCAUAAGAAAACUUUGGCUUAGUUGUGGAUUUCUUUGCAAGGUUUGAUGGUUUCAAUGUUUUUGAGUUCAAAUGGUCAGUAUUUAAGUUAUUAAUCGAUUCUGUUAUAUCCCACAUGCAAACUUUUCCAAGCUCUGACCAUGUUGAUACCAAAUUUGGAAGUUGAGGGCAAACCCGAAUACGAUUAAUAGUUCCUUUAUGAGGAAUUGCUGCCACAUUUACAAUAGGGUCUUCAUCAGCAAAGUUGUCAUCAUCAGAGUCAUCAGAAUCACUUAAAUCAGAAUCACUAUUAUCAUUUUCGUCUCUAUCUCUUUUGGUUUUGUGCAUUCUUGACCAUUUCAUUAAAAGUAUAUGAUUAUUAUCCUCCAUAUUUGCUUGUGUUCCUGCAACAACAUAACAUGUAUGCGGAAACUGGGUUCUGUUGUCUCCAAGCUUAUCUGGUAAAAUAUCUAGUGUUAGGCAACUCCAUUCAACCAAGCAUUUAUGGUACAUUUUAUAUGCUUUUGGCUCAUAUACUAAUUCUUGAUUUUCGUCACCCUGACCUGGAAGCCAAUAAUGUUCUUCAAUUUCAACAUCCUCAUCAGCUCCCUCAACAAUUUCAGACCCAUCUUCAGUUUCUUCCCUGAUUACUUCUUCUUCGCUUUCUAUUUCAUCGUCCAUCUCUUCUGCAAAUUCUCCCUCGACAUUCAUCAUUGCUUCUUGUUUCUCAUACAUCUCAGAUUUAGGUUUGCUAGGAGUAAACUUACUAGGAAGCUCGUCUUCCUCCACUUCAAGAUGCUUUCUACCCUAUAAUUUCAAAAAGUUAAUAGUUAGUUAAGGUGU